RNAcentral lists this ribosomal RNA (440 nucleotides) under uncultured bacterium. RNAcentral describes it as "partial 16S ribosomal RNA". It matches the Rfam family "Bacterial small subunit ribosomal RNA", at positions 338 to 795 of the family's 1533-position model. The record is from RNAcentral.
CCUACGGGAGGCAGCAGUGGGGGAUAUUGCACAAUGGGGGAAACCCUGAUGCAGCGACGCCGCGUGUGGGAAGACGGUCCUCUGAAUUGUAAACCACUGUCCCCAGGGACGAAAAUGACGGUACCUGGGGAGGAAGCUCCGGCUAACUACGUGCCAGCAGCCGCGGUAAUACGUAGGGAGCAAGCGUUGUCCGGAAUUACUGUGUUAAAAGGGAGCGUAGGCGGGAUGGAAAGUUGGGUGUUAAAUCGACAGGAUCAACUGGUAGUCGUACUCAAAACUGCUAUUCUUGAGUGAAGUAGAGGCAGGCGGAAUUCCUAGUGUAGCGGUGAAAUGCGUAGAUAUUAGGAGGAACACCAGUGGCGAAGGCGGCCUGCUGGGCUUUUACUGACGCUGAGGCUCGAAAGUGUGGGGAGCAAACAGGAUUAGAUACCCGUGUAGUC